AUUAACUAUGUACCCAUUUUGUAUCUGGUUCGUAGAGUUAUUGAGGUAAGAUAAUAAUCCUUUUGGCAUAUGACUUGUAAGUGCAUUAGUCGUUUCACUGGCUAAAACGUAAAUUUAUAUAUUUGAUUAUUAUAUGUACUCUUUAAUAUUAUGAACACGACAUCUGAUUGGAUACAUCUAACUGGUGGCAAAACCCACAUGGCAGGGUAACUGGUUUUGGACAUUACUUUGACUACUAUAGAAUUAGGAUGGUAGAUUGUUUUCGGCAAGACUCACUGUGACGCGAGUUCUUAUGGUUUCAGGGACUUCAAUCUGGGCAUAAUUAUUAUUAUGUUUGAGAAAUCAAUACAACUGGUAUUACGCAGGACGGCAGCGGUGAAGGCAUAUUUAGUAGUUCCUUCGUUGUUGUAAACAUUGGAGGAUUUUCAAACAGAGAAAGAGUGCCACCGAAGGUUCGAAGGGCUUUCAGAGGGACAUGUUAGACAUGUUCAAUGAUAUUAUCUAUUCUCUCGAGGGUUACCUAACCAAUUUUUUUGGAAGAUUUGCUCAAGGUAUUGUACGAUCGUGCACUUCAGAGAUCAUCUGAUAUAGCAGUGCAUAAUAUCCACUGAACAUUAAAUGUUACUAUCUUUUGAUAGUUACAUAUGGGACAUGCUGAUAUAGUAAUAUAAAAUCUUGUUAACC
Lolium perenne is the source of this 684-nucleotide long non-coding RNA. RefSeq lists it as uncharacterized. NCBI's taxonomy places the organism in Eukaryota, Viridiplantae, Streptophyta, Magnoliopsida, Poales, Poaceae. The record is from RefSeq and is a predicted model, not a curated record.